AACUUGAUCGAGAAGAAACUCGAGGAGCAAUUUGAGGGCUUUGGAAAGAAAAGAGACUCAAAUCAAAGGCAGAGCGCAGAGGAGAAUCGGAGCAGGAGAUUAAUUAGGUACAGCCGUACAGCUACAACUAGAGAACUGGAGAAGGAAAUUAUCAAUUAGGAAAUUCGAUUGAAGAAAUCAGGAGCGACAAAAGUCUAUAUAUUGGCGUCAUAUCCUGAAAAAAGAAAUCAAUUUCUCAAACAGAAAAAAGAAAUAUAUUGUGUGUGGAGGAGGCAAGAGAGUUCGACUGACAGAGGAUCGAAGAACUAAUGUGGAGGAAUUAGUUGAAACUAAUGCUGGGAAUUCUCACACAAGCCCAGGGAUCGAGAAAGUAGUAGAGGUAAGUUCGAACCACUUGAAAGGGUUGGGAGGAAUCAACGAAGAAUCCAAGGUGUGGCGGUGGAAGUAGUCGUCAUGACCACCUUCCUGCUCAAGAGUAUACAGAAGAAAGAGAAAGUAUCGAACUAGGCAUCUGCAAGAAAGUAAUGAUACUGGGGUCGAUGGUGAAGGUCAUGAUGAAGAUAGUUACUCAAGUGACUUAACUGAAGAUGAGAUUCGGGUGGAUGAAACCCAUAUUAUCGAGAGAUCAAUGGACUUACAAAGAAUGGUGAAUACAAAGGUAGAAGUGAACAAGUCAUCGGGGUUCUUUCUCUUAAAGAGUUGGAGGAGAAAUAUAGGAAGCCUAUGAAUAAGAGUGGUAUAGGGUCUGAAAAGCAAGCAACUGAGGCAUUGGACGGACAUUUUUGUCGACUGCCUGAUCAAGGGAGGUAGAGGGUCUAAAAUCGUGAGAGGUUGAGGGAGAGGAGAUAGAGGAGGAAAGCCAUUUAAUUUUGCGUUCCAGGUAGUGGGAUUGAUGGGCAGCAUUAUUUAUUUAUUUUUUUGAACCUGAGGGGCUAAAAGUGACAGCUUGCAUUCCUACUUAUUGGCAUGCAUAUUAUUCGGGGCAUACUCUGAAUUGUUGAGGAGAAAUGUCAAUUUAAAACCUUCUUAAUCUGCAGGGUUUGACAGAGUUCUGCACAAGUAUAAACAACUGAAAUCAUUUUGGGUAUAACUAAGGUAAGACCCUACAGCCUAGGAUAGUGAAGAAAAUCCAACUAAAAGAAAAACAAACAUGGAUGAUGUUAAUGUACAUGUGGGGAGAAGGCGACAGUUACCACUAUGGAUGCAGGGUGUAGUUGCUGCUGACCAGGUAAGGAAGUCUAGGAAUGAAGAUGAAGAAAAAUCCACUUCCGAAUUAAGAUCUGUGACAUCUCAAGCUCCAGAGCUUAAGAAGAAAUCCACAACUAAAAAGCUUGACAAUGUGGUUGAACUUUGUGACAAGGAACAUUUGAAGAUGGAGUCAAACUUUCGUAGAAAAUGUGAAAAAAUGGAGAGGAAAAGGAAAUUAUGCCAGAAAGAUGUGGUUUGUGAAAGUCCUAACCACAGAAAAGGUGAUUUGCAGAAUAAAAGAACCAAGAGAAGUAACAUCAUAGUACCCACAGUCCAGAAACCUGCUUCUCAAAGGAAACAAAGAGGAAAUUAUGAGCAUGGAAAUAGUGAGGAUAUUGGAACCCCAUUGCCAAGUGAAGAGGAUGGAGAACUGACAAUGGAAGAUCUAAUGACUAUUGCCAAAGAGCAUGUCAAAGCUGAGAAGGAGAUGGACCAUCAACAAUCUGCAAAAAUGGAACUAAAAUCAGAAAACCAACUUCCAGCCACCCUUUUAUUCCGAGACAAAUCCGAAGAGUCUCUCAGGGUCAAUCAAGGCAGCAAGAAAUCAUUCACACAUACAGCAAUAGGAUCCACUUCUCAUCUUACUGAGACUAGAUUGAAGGAUGAAGAUGGUUCAGCAAGUGAAAGUGUCCUAGACAAUCCCCACAGAACAGGUGAUGCUACUGCAGAUAUGUUGGAUCUAUUUUUGGGUCCAUUGCUUAAGAAGCCCCAAGAUAAAGAAAGAAAGCUUGAAUUUGUUAUGGAGGACAUGCCAUCUUCCCGUGAGUUCAAGAGUCAAAGCAAGGUUGUUGGGGAGGAAGCAGUCCUUCUGACAAAGAAGAAGAGCAGCCUUAAAGACAGGGUUGCAAUGUUCCUUGACUGAAUAGUUUGUUUGUAUUUGGAAAUGGGAAGCUCUACAGCACAGUGAAGCAGCCUUAUGGAUGUUACAGAACCUCCCACAGUUUAUGACUAUAUUUGCAGUCAAUGAUGUAGCCUUGACCAGCAUCCACACCACAGGUUAUAACAUACUUAUAAUGGAGAGGUUCCAUAUACAUGAUAAUUGCAAUUUAUGAGUGGCAAGCUAAAUGUUGGUUGUUGAUUGGAGUCUACUGGCAGAGGCAAGGUGGACUGGAUAAAGAGUGGUUUGAGGAAGAAAUUGAAGGAGGCAAUAUUUGAAAUUUGUUUGGAGAAUGAUCUGGGUGCAUGUGGUGUUACUAUGAGUUUCUUUUAGAAGUUCUGGCAUAUCAUCAAGUAAGAUAUGUUCAAGAUUUUUGACGACCUCUAUGUGUUUAGUGUGAUCAG
RNA transcript from Nelumbo nucifera (sacred lotus), 2529 nucleotides. RefSeq lists it as uncharacterized. The record is from RefSeq and is a predicted model, not a curated record. NCBI's taxonomy places the organism in Eukaryota, Viridiplantae, Streptophyta, Magnoliopsida, Proteales, Nelumbonaceae.